Molecule: long non-coding RNA, 1433 nt
Organism: Lepidothrix coronata (blue-crowned manakin)
Lineage: Eukaryota; Metazoa; Chordata; Aves; Passeriformes; Pipridae
Exons: 3
Source: RefSeq, a predicted model, not a curated record
GUGGCAGGAGAAAAUGUUCAUCUCUGUGAUGUCCUUUGCAGAUUUCACUGUUCUAAUUCUGAGCUGACAUCCCUCCUCCAUUUUAUACAAACCCCAAAUAGCUGCAGUGGCUCAGAUUUAAUGUGGAAAAAAUUCCGACCGUUGAAAAGACACCUAAAAAAAAUAAAAUUAAACCAAUUAAAAAAACCAAACCAGCACACCUUUAAAAGUACUUAAACCCAAAACUCGUGCCAGCAGGUGGUGCUGAAUUGCUGUAAAUAAUUUUCCACCUGAAAUCCUGAAGCAUGUGACCAUGUACCUGGAAUCCUCACAUCACCUCUGACCCCCCUAAAAAGUUGGCAGCUCUGCCAGGAGAUGAACCAGGGGGUGGAAAGGGGGUGCCCCAGGCUCUCUGCAGCUUCACUCCCAACUGUGUCUUGUGAAAAAGGAUUCUCUUUGUAAAAGCAGAUGGUUUGGAUCACCCUUUGGAAAGGACAAUGAAGACAGUCCUUUAAUGUCAAAGGAUUAUGGGCUUCACUGAAUCAAAAUUAAUCAAGGAUAAUGGAAAGUGUGUUUUGUCUUAAAUCACAGGUUGGCAAAGGUGUGUUACCUGCCAUUGCUAUUUAAAUGUGGGGAGCACAGCCCUGACCUGUUAUUGUGAAUGCUUCCCGUGCCUCAGCUCUGGAGCGUGCCGAAAUAAAAACUGGGACUGAAAGGAUCCCUGGAUUUGUGUGUGAUUUCUGAGCGGCCAAGCCAGACCCUUGUACUUUGCUCCCUGCUGAGUUAUCACUGAAAAUUUGAGAGGCACCCCAAAAUCCUGGAGGAUGGAGCAUUCCUGGAAGGAUACCUGCAGCAGUCAGUGUCAGUCCUCUGUGAGAGCUCUGCGGGCUUAGAGGUAUUUUUAAAGACUAUUUUAAUCUCAAUUCUUUAGAACUGGAAUAGAAUAUAAAUCAAAAGGUUGGAAAGGGAGAUUAAUUCUGAGGCUGGGUUGUUUUUUUUUUUGGAGUCUGCCUUUUUUUUUCUAAUUAACUGGGGGAGCAAGGGGACCCAACAGUUGAACCUUUAGGGUAAGGACAAGUGACAUUUUUUUGGAUAGUAAAUACAGAUGUUCAGGUAAUUUAAUGGAAAACAAAAAGAUGGGAGAUGAUGUGAAAGAACUGAUCAAGCAUCACACAAGUCAUAGGUUUAUGUGGCAGGGAGAAUUCUGUAAGAAAUACCUGGAAAAGGGGCAAAGAGAAUUUUUUUUAAUUCAGCAUUUCAGCCUUUGAAAGGAUGGCAAGACAUUGCUAGAAAACAGGGACAGUUAGAGGUGAGACACUAAUCAGAGGAUGAUGAUGAGUUUUUUCUUCACUCUUGACUGUGGUUUGUGAACACAACAAUAAACACAAGCCAAGCAAAAAUAAUCACAAGUUUGGGUUAGAAAAGACCUUUAAGAUCAAGUCUUGUGCCUAAGA